RNAcentral lists this ribosomal RNA (252 nucleotides) under uncultured bacterium. RNAcentral describes it as "partial 16S ribosomal RNA". It matches the Rfam family "Bacterial small subunit ribosomal RNA", at positions 524 to 775 of the family's 1533-position model. The record is from RNAcentral.
UACGUAGGCAGCGAGCGUUGUUCGGAGUUACUGGGCGUAAAGAGUGCGUAGGCGGUUUUCUAAGUUUGGUGUGAAAUCUCCCGGCUCAACUGGGAGGGUGCGCCGAAGACUGGAAGGCUUGAGUAUGGGAGAGGUAAGCGGAAUUCCUGGUGUAGCGGUGAAAUGCGUAGAGAUGCGGAGGAACACCGAUGGCGAAGGCAGCCCCCUGGGCUAACACUGACGCUCAGGCACGAAAGCGUGGGGAGCAAACGA